Molecule: ribosomal RNA, 253 nt
Filed under: uncultured bacterium
Lineage: Bacteria
Description: partial 16S ribosomal RNA
Rfam family: Bacterial small subunit ribosomal RNA
Source: RNAcentral
UACGAGGGGUGCAAACGUUAUUCGGAUUUAUUGGGCGUAAAGGGUGUGUAGGCGGCAUGUUGUGUCUACCGUUAAAUACUCCAGCUUACCUGGAGAAGUGCGGUGGAAACUAAUGUGCUAGAGGAUGGAAGAGAGAAGUGGAAUUCCCGGAGUAGCGGUAAAAUGCGUAGAUCUCGGGAGGAACACCAAUGGCGAAGGCAGCUUCUUGGUCCAUUCCUGACGCUGAGACACGAAAGCGUGGGGAGCAAACAGG